This is a long non-coding RNA of Syngnathus acus (greater pipefish), 299 nucleotides long. RefSeq lists it as uncharacterized. The transcript has 2 exons. The record is from RefSeq and is a predicted model, not a curated record. Lineage: Eukaryota; Metazoa; Chordata; Actinopteri; Syngnathiformes; Syngnathidae.
AUUGUGAUCAGCGCAAAAAAGAGAGCAGGCCAACCAAGUUAAAAUGUCACAAUUGCCAGAAUACAAUGGCCAGUUUUGUGUUGCUUUGAGUAUACGAGUUUGUAUAUUGGAGAGCAAAAAGUAAAAAUCAUUUUAGAACUUAUCAUAAUUGGAGACAAACAAAAUACAAUUUCUCAAGCCCAAGACUAACGAGAAUGAAGUUGCAAUAUUCCAAUUCAAAGCAUUCCUGGCUUUCCCCCCAGAUGAAGUCCAGAUUCAAAGAUGGAGGAUAAAAGUUCUGUUUUGCGAACCAAGUCUGG